RNAcentral lists this ribosomal RNA (430 nucleotides) under uncultured bacterium. Its description in RNAcentral is "partial 16S ribosomal RNA". It matches the Rfam family "Bacterial small subunit ribosomal RNA", at positions 354 to 796 of the family's 1533-position model. The record is from RNAcentral.
GUGGGGAAUAUUGCUCAAUGGGCGAAAGCCUGAUGCAGCAACGCCGCGUGAGGGACGACGGCCUUCGGGUUGUAAACCUCUUUUAGUAGGGAAGAAGCGAAAGUGACGGUACCUGCAGAAAAAGCACCGGCUAACUACGUGCCAGCAGCCGCGGUAAUACGUAGGGUGCAAGCGUUAUCCGGAAUUAUUGGGCGUAAAGAGCUCGUAGGCGGUCUGUCGCGUCUGCUGUGAAAACUGGAGGCUCAACCUCCAGCCUGCAGUGGGUACGGGCAGACUAGAGUGCGGUAGGGGAGAUUGGAAUUCCUGGUGUAGCGGUGGAAUGCGCAGAUAUCAGGAGGAACACCGAUGGCGAAGGCAGAUCUCUGGGCCGUAACUGACGCUGAGGAGCGAAAGCGUGGGGAGCGAACAGGAUUAGAUACCCUUGUAGUCC